GACGAACGCUGGCGGCGUGCUUAACACAUGCAAGUCGAACGGAAAGGCCCUGCUUUUGUGGGGUGCUCGAGUGGCGAACGGGUGAGUAACACGUGAGUAACCUGCCCUUGACUUUGGGAUAACUUCAGGAAACUGGGGCUAAUACCGGAUAGGAGCUCCUGCUGCAUGGUGGGGGUUGGAAAGUUUCGGCGGUUGGGGAUGGACUCGCGGCUUAUCAGCUUGUUGGUGGGGUAGUGGCUUACCAAGGCUUUGACGGGUAGCCGGCCUGAGAGGGUGACCGGCCACAUUGGGACUGAGAUACGGCCCAGACUGCUACGGGAGGCAGCAGGGGAGAAUAUUGCACAAUGGGCGGAAGCCUGAUGCAGCAACGCCGCGUGCGGGAUGACGGCCUUCGGGUUAUAAACCGCUUUCGCCUGUGACGAAGCGUGAGUGACGGUAAUGGGUAAAGAAGCACCGGCUAACUACGUG
This 468-nucleotide ribosomal RNA is filed under the name uncultured bacterium. RNAcentral's name for it is "partial 16S ribosomal RNA". It matches the Rfam family "Bacterial small subunit ribosomal RNA", at positions 28 to 507 of the family's 1533-position model. The record is from RNAcentral.